Molecule: transfer RNA, 73 nt
Filed under: Flavobacteriales bacterium
Lineage: Bacteria; Pseudomonadati; Bacteroidota; Flavobacteriia; Flavobacteriales
Also listed under: 1 other name
Description: tRNA-Thr
Rfam family: tRNA
About the family: Transfer RNA (tRNA) molecules are approximately 80 nucleotides in length. Their secondary structure includes four short double-helical elements and three loops (D, anti-codon, and T loops). Further hydrogen bonds mediate the characteristic L-shaped molecular structure. tRNAs have two regions of fundamental functional importance: the anti-codon, which is responsible for specific mRNA codon recognition, and the 3' end, to which the tRNAs corresponding amino acid is attached (by aminoacyl-tRNA synthetases). tRNAs cope with the degeneracy of the genetic code in two manners: having more than one tRNA (with a specific anti-codon) for a particular amino acid; and 'wobble' base-pairing, i.e. permitting non-standard base-pairing at the 3rd anti-codon position.
Source: RNAcentral
GCCGAUGUAGCUCAGCUGGUAGAGCAAUUGAUUUGUAAUCAAUAGGUCGGGGGUUCGAGUCCCUUCAUCGGCU